UGUGUGUGUGUGUGUGUGUGUGUGUGUGUGUGUGUGUGAAUGUGCGUGCGCGCACCCACACACACACAAA
Non-coding RNA from Podarcis lilfordi (Lilford's wall lizard), 70 nucleotides. The record is from the annotation of a GenBank genome assembly. Lineage: Eukaryota; Metazoa; Chordata; Lepidosauria; Squamata; Lacertidae.